UACGUAGGGUGCAAGCGUUGUCCGGAAUUAUUGGGCGUAAAGAGCUCGUAGGCGGUUUGUCACGUCGGCUGUGAAAACCUGGGGCUCAACCCCGGGCCUGCAGCCGAUACGGGCAGACUAGAGUGCGGUAGGGGAGACUGGAAUUCCUGGUGUAGCGGUGAAAUGCGCAGAUAUCAGGAGGAACACCGGUGGCGAAGGCGGGUCUCUGGGCCUUACCUGACACUGAGGAGCGAAAGCGUGGGGAGCGAACAGG
This 253-nucleotide ribosomal RNA is filed under the name uncultured bacterium. RNAcentral's name for it is "partial 16S ribosomal RNA". It matches the Rfam family "Bacterial small subunit ribosomal RNA", at positions 524 to 776 of the family's 1533-position model. The record is from RNAcentral.